UUGGGAGAAAAUUAGAAAAUCUUAGUUUGCCUGUCGAUUUACAGUGAUGUUCUGCCACGGAUGGCAGAACAAGGCAGCAUCGAGUCAUGGAUGACUCGUUGUUGCCGUUCACGUCACUCUGAGAAACUUCAAAUCAGGCAAACUUAGUUUUUCUUAUUUUCAUA
RNAcentral lists this non-coding RNA (164 nucleotides) under Roseburia intestinalis. Lineage: Bacteria; Bacillati; Bacillota; Clostridia; Lachnospirales; Lachnospiraceae. The record is from RNAcentral.